GUGAGGAAUAUUGCGCAAUGGAGGCAACUCUGACGCAGCCAUGCCGCGUGCAGGAAGAAGGCGCUACGCGUUGUAAACUGCUUUUAACCGGGAAGAAACCCCAGGACGUGUCCUGGGUUGACGGUACCGGAGGAAUAAGCACCGGCUAACUUCGUGCCAGCAGCCGCGGUAAUACGAAGGGUGCAAGCGUUAUCCGGAUUCAUUGGGUUUAAAGGGUGCGUAGGAGGAGCGUUAAGUCAGUGGGGAAAUUCUUCAGCUUAACUGUAGACGUGCCAUUGAUACUGGCGCUCUUGAGUGCGCUUGAAGUGGGUGGAAUGUGCCGUGUAGCGGUGAAAUGCUUAGAUAUGGCACAGAACACCAAUUGCGAAGGCAGCUCACUAAGGCGAUACUGACGCUGAGGCACGAAAGCGUGGGGAUCGAACAGGAUUAGAAACCCGGGUAGUCC
Molecule: ribosomal RNA, 445 nt
Filed under: uncultured bacterium
Lineage: Bacteria
Description: partial 16S ribosomal RNA
Rfam family: Bacterial small subunit ribosomal RNA
Source: RNAcentral